Molecule: ribosomal RNA, 328 nt
Filed under: uncultured eukaryote
Lineage: Eukaryota
Description: partial 18S ribosomal RNA
Rfam family: Eukaryotic small subunit ribosomal RNA
Source: RNAcentral
CCCUUAGAUGUCCUGGGCCGCACGCGCGUUACACUGGUGCAUUCAACGAGCUUAUAACCUUGGCCGAGAGGCCUGGGCAAUCUUGUUAACGUGCAUCGUGAUAGGGAUAGAUUAUUGAAAUUAUUAAUCUUGAACGAGGAAUUCCUAGUAAACGCAGAUCAUCAAUCUGCAUUGAUUACGUCCCUGCCCUUUGUACACACCGCCCGUCGCACCUACCGAUUGGAUGGUCCGGUGAAGCCUCGGGAUUGUGGUUCUUGCCGCUUUAUUGUGGCGUGACCGCGAGAACUUGUCUAAACCUUAUCAUCUAGAGGAAGGUGAANUCGUANCA